ACUGGCUUUAUUUGGUGCAUGGA
Molecule: microRNA, 23 nt
Filed under: Saccoglossus kowalevskii
Lineage: Eukaryota; Metazoa; Hemichordata; Enteropneusta; Harrimaniidae
Description: Sko-Mir-29-P2_5p* (star (passenger))
Source: RNAcentral